UACAGAGGUCCCGAGCGUUGUUCGGAUUCACUGGGCGUAAAGGGUGCGUAGGUGGUGAGGUAAGUCGGAUGUGAAAUCUCCGGGCUCAACCCGGAAAUGGCAUUGGAAACUACCUUGCUGGAGGAUUUGAGGGGGGAUUGGAAUACUUGGUGUAGCAGUGAAAUGCGCAGAUAUCAAGUGGAACACCAGUGGCGAAGGCGAAUCCCUGGAAAAUACCUGACACUGAGGCACGAAAGCUAGGGGAGCAAACAGG
This 253-nucleotide ribosomal RNA is filed under the name uncultured bacterium. RNAcentral's name for it is "partial 16S ribosomal RNA". It matches the Rfam family "Bacterial small subunit ribosomal RNA", at positions 524 to 776 of the family's 1533-position model. The record is from RNAcentral.